This 971-nucleotide long non-coding RNA is filed under the name Mustela putorius furo (domestic ferret). RNAcentral describes it as "lncRNA (ENSMPUG00000029519.1)". Lineage: Eukaryota; Metazoa; Chordata; Mammalia; Carnivora; Mustelidae. The record is from RNAcentral.
AGGGUAUCUACUGAAUGUGAAAAAAUAUUUGAAAAAUAAUGUAUCUGUUAAGGGGUUAAUACCCAAACUAUAUAAAUAACUUUUAUACAACUCAAUACAAAAAAAAAAAAAAAACCCAAAUAAUAGAAUUAAAAAAUGGACAUGGGGCACCUGAGUGGCUCAGUCAGUUAAGCACCCGAUUCUUGUCAGUGUUGUGAACUCAAGCCCCACAGGUUGGGCUCCACAAUGGGCAUGGAGUACUUAAGAAAUAAAAAGGCAGAGGAUCUGAAUGGACAUUUUUUCCAAAACAGACAUACAGAUAGCCAAAAGACACAUGAAAAGAUGCUCAAGAUCACUAAUCAUCAGGGAAGUGCAAAACAAAACCACAAAGGUAUCACUUUACACCUGCCAGAAUGGCUAGAAUAGAAAACACAAGAAAUAACAAGUGUUGGUGAGGACUGGAGAAACAGGGAGCCCUUGCACACUGUUGGUAAAAUUAUAAAUUGUGCAGCCCCUGUAGAAAAGGGUAUGGAGGCUCCUCAAAAUAUCAAAAACAGAAAUACCAUAUGAUUCAGUAAUUCCAUUACUGGCUACUUACUCAAAGAAAAUGACAACACUAAUUUGAAAAUAUAUAUCCACCCCUAUGCUUAUUGCAGCAUUAUUUUUAUGUAACCCAGGUGUCCACUGAUAGAUGAAUGGAUAAGGAAGAUGUUGUAUGUGUACACACACACACACACACACAAAUAUUACUCAGCCACACAAAAUGGAUGAAAUACUGACAUUUGUGACAACACGGAUGGAGCUGGAAAGUAUUAUGGAAUCCAGUUCAAGAAAUAAUGGAGCACCUGAUCAUAGAAUACAACUUCCAGCGCUAUAUACAACCUCCAGCUAUAUACAUUGGCUACUGGCAAUAAUAAACCUGCAGAGAAGUCAACAGUACUAGGGAAUGCUAGUGAGGUGCUGUCACGUCCCACUGCUGCCCUAGGUCUUUA